Molecule: long non-coding RNA, 343 nt
Organism: Spodoptera frugiperda (fall armyworm)
Lineage: Eukaryota; Metazoa; Arthropoda; Insecta; Lepidoptera; Noctuidae
Exons: 2
Source: RefSeq, a predicted model, not a curated record
GACGCGAAGCAUUUUCAACCUCAUUCUUCGCAGUCGCGCCUUUUUUCUCGAGUUCGGCUUCUUUUCGCGAUUUGAAUUUGGAGUUCCCGCGUCUAGUGAACCUGUUUGUGGUGGUUUCUAUUUUAUCUGUGCUGGUUUCCGUCUCCGUGGUCUCUGGAGGUGCGGUGGCUUUUGUGCGGCGAAGGAAAUUGCGCUUUGCAGCCUGUGGACAAAAUAAACGAUCAAAAUGGACGGAGGAUGAAGCAACAACUGGAUACCAGUAGCAACUGGUAGUAUGAAGAUUUAUCAUGGAAGAAGAAUUUUGCUGAAGGAGGAAGCAGAUCCAAAGUCUCUUCUGAUGGAA